AUGAGGCAGCGGGUGCGAGUAGUCCGGUCGCACAACGCUGAUAUGGUAUGCUUGGUUGGGCAACGAAUGACACGAUUUUGAUUCGGGUAAAUGAGAUUUCGAUUUGAUUCCACACGAAGUUCGCAUGGCACGUUUCCACAAGACUUGCUAAUAUGACAAACACCAUGUUUCCAUAUUAGUUUUAUCUUGUGAAGCAAUGUCAUGCACCCUAACAUUACACCACCUGCGAUGACUUCCAAGUAACAUUCGAACAUCGAUAGACAAUAGAUUUCAACAGAUUGAUAAGCGACGAUUGUUGCGUUGCGAGUGAUAGACGAUUGAUUGAACUGAUUACACCACGAAUAGUACUAAGGCUAGCCCACACGGCCUUUUUCCACAAAGUCAACUAAUAUGUAUCGAGUGGAUGGAUUAGGUGCGAGGCGCGUUAAGAGUGGAAGG
Molecule: long non-coding RNA, 438 nt
Filed under: Helianthus annuus (common sunflower)
Lineage: Eukaryota; Viridiplantae; Streptophyta; Magnoliopsida; Asterales; Asteraceae
Source: RNAcentral